UACAGAGGGGGCAAGCGUUAUUCGGAAUUAUUGGGCGUAAAGGGCGCGUAGGCGGCCUGGCAAGUGGAAGGUGAAAUCCCUCGGCUUAACCGAGGAACUGCCUCCCAAACUGCUUGGCUUGAGACCGGGAGAGGUGAGUGGAAUUCCCAGUGUAGCGGUGAAAUGCGUAGAUAUUGGGAGGAACACCAGUGGCGAAGGCGACUUCCUGGCCUGUUCUUGACGCUGAGGCGCGAAAGCUAGGGGAGCAAACGGG
Molecule: ribosomal RNA, 253 nt
Filed under: uncultured bacterium
Lineage: Bacteria
Description: partial 16S ribosomal RNA
Rfam family: Bacterial small subunit ribosomal RNA
Source: RNAcentral